Molecule: long non-coding RNA, 719 nt
Organism: Amphiprion ocellaris (clown anemonefish)
Lineage: Eukaryota; Metazoa; Chordata; Actinopteri; Pomacentridae
Source: Ensembl
GUAAGACUUCAGGUCACUGAGACGAUGUUUACAGCAGCAGCAGCAUGAUUCACAGCACUGGUGGAAGCUGAAUUAGUGAGGAUGACUCCUGCUCCUGUCAUCUCUAAGCUCCUCACACAUCUUUACCUGCACAUGAGGAAAAUCACUCCUGUAGAAUGCAGUGGUUCAUCAGAACCUCUGGGGAUGUCCUGUGGAUUCUGUGGAUCCUGUGGGUUGCAGGGUGGGUCCUACCUAGACCAGGCUGAUCCUGGACCAUCCCACAGAUGCUCCAUCAGAUCUGGAUGUGGGGAGUGUGGAACCCAGAUGUUCAGAGGGAGAUGAUGCCACAUCUGGUCCAGCCGAUGGAAGGUCUUGAAGUUCUCUGACUGGCCUGGACUGAAGAUGGUCGUCUCACUGGAUUUAAGGUUCAGAUGCUCAGUAACAAACUCCACCAAUGAGCCAACAGGGAAGCUUUAGGUUUAUUAAAUGUUGCUAUGAAGGUAUCGCUGUUUUUCUUUGUGAAUGCAAUGUGCUCCAACUGAAACUUGAAUUAGAACUUAGAAGUAAAUCCUUCCAUCUGAAAGGAUUUAGUUGCAUUAAUGACCUCAUAACAUUCUAAUUUUUAUUCCAGUCUUGGUUGAAAAUAGAAUCUCUGUAUUGAUUCAGGUAAAAACUGAACUUCACAGCAUGUUGGAGCAAAACAACCAGAUGAAAACUGUGAUGGUGUUGGAUUGUCAGAC